Molecule: long non-coding RNA, 625 nt
Organism: Lotus japonicus
Lineage: Eukaryota; Viridiplantae; Streptophyta; Magnoliopsida; Fabales; Fabaceae
Exons: 2
Source: RefSeq, a predicted model, not a curated record
UUCUGCCCAAACAAAAACCCUAGCCACCACACCUAGCCUUUCCUCUUCUCCUCCUCCUCCUUCCCUUACGACCACGAAACCACCGACCAUGCCUCCGACAGCUUUUGUUGGACGUGCGACCCACACUACUGCCCCAGUCCCACCCAAUUUGGUUUUUUUGUCAAACUUGUGCACAGGACAAACAACCACCGCCGCGGGACUUCUGGCGAGGCUCGUGAAGUUGAUAAUUGUAUACUAAAGUAGUGGUGUUACCAUAUUCUCACCUCCAUGUCAUUGAUUUGUGGAGGGAAAAACUGCAAGGUGAAUAGGUCUUUCUUCAAGGUAAUGUGUAACUGAAAAAAUUUCAAUAUGAAUAGGUGGAAGGCAAGCUCGUGGAGUCUUCAAGGCAAUGUGUAACUGAAAAUGAAUUGGUGGAAAGCAAGCUCGUGGGGUUUUCAAGGAAAUGUGAAACUGAAAAUUUGAUAUUAAUUUUUCGUUUAACACAUUGUUCAUUUAUAGUUUAUCUCUCAGCUUCCUUUUUAGUCAGUAUCCAGUUUAUGCCUUCUAACACAUGUAGGCAAACACAUUUUGCCCAUCCAUAGAAACUGCCCGGUCAAUCAAUAAUUAUAUUAUUUAAUAUAUUUAA